This 198-nucleotide ribosomal RNA is filed under the name uncultured bacterium. Its description in RNAcentral is "partial 16S ribosomal RNA". It matches the Rfam family "Bacterial small subunit ribosomal RNA", at positions 328 to 539 of the family's 1533-position model. The record is from RNAcentral.
ACGCUCGACACCUACGGGAGGUAGCAGUGGGGAAUAUUGCACAAUGGGGGAAACCCUGAUGCAGCGACGCCGCGUGAAGGAAGAAGUAUCUCGGUAUGUAAACUUCUAUCAGCAGGGAAGAAAAUGACGGUACCUGACUAAGAAGCCCCGGCUAACUACGUGUCAGCAGCCGCGGUAAUCUGAGCGGGCUGGCAAGGC